This 79-nucleotide ribosomal RNA is filed under the name Escherichia coli. RNAcentral describes it as "partial 16S ribosomal RNA". It matches the Rfam family "Bacterial small subunit ribosomal RNA", at positions 1 to 79 of the family's 1533-position model. RNAcentral also lists the same sequence under 56 other names. Lineage: Bacteria; Pseudomonadati; Pseudomonadota; Gammaproteobacteria; Enterobacterales; Enterobacteriaceae. The record is from RNAcentral.
AAAUUGAAGAGUUUGAUCAUGGCUCAGAUUGAACGCUGGCGGCAGGCCUAACACAUGCAAGUCGAACGGUAACAGGAAG